UACGUAGGUGGCAAGCGUUGUCCGGAAUUAUUGGGCGUAAAGCGCGCGCAGGCGGUCCUUUAAGUCUGAAUGUGAAAGCCCACGGCUCAACCGUGGAGGGUCAUUGGAAACUGGGGGACUUGAGUGCAGGAGAGAAGAGUGGAAUUCCACGUGUAGCGGUGAAAUGCGUAGAGAUGUGGAGGAACACCAGUGGCGAAGGCGACUCUUGGCCUGUAACUGACGCUUGAGGCGCGAAAGCGUGGGGAGCAAACAGG
Molecule: ribosomal RNA, 254 nt
Filed under: uncultured bacterium
Lineage: Bacteria
Description: partial 16S ribosomal RNA
Rfam family: Bacterial small subunit ribosomal RNA
Source: RNAcentral